Molecule: ribosomal RNA, 484 nt
Filed under: uncultured bacterium
Lineage: Bacteria
Description: partial 16S ribosomal RNA
Rfam family: Bacterial small subunit ribosomal RNA
Source: RNAcentral
AUUGAACGCUGGUGGCAGGCCUAACACAUGCAAGUCGAGCGGAUGAAGGGAGCUUGCUCCUGGAUUCAGCGGCGGACGGGUGUGUAAUGCCUAGGAAUCUGCCUGGUAGUGGGUGAUAACGUCCGGAAACGGGCGCUAAUACCGCAUACGUCCUGAGGGAGAAAGUGGGGGAUCUUCGGACCUCACGCUAUCAGAUGAGCCUAGGUCGGAUUAGCUAGUUGGUGGGGUAAAGGCCUACCAAGGCGACGAUCCGUAACUGGUCUGAGAGGGUGAUCAGUCACACUGGAACUGAGACACGGACCAGACUCCUACGGGAGGCAGCAGUGGGGAAUAUUGGACAAUGGGCGAAAGCCUGAUCCAGCCAUGCCGCGUGUGUGAAGAAGGUCUUCGGAUUGUAAAGCACUUUAAGUUGGGAGGAAGGGCAGUAAGUUAAUACCUUGCUGUUUUGACGUUACCAACAGAAUAAGCACCGGCUAACUUCGUG